RNAcentral lists this ribosomal RNA (253 nucleotides) under uncultured bacterium. Its description in RNAcentral is "partial 16S ribosomal RNA". It matches the Rfam family "Bacterial small subunit ribosomal RNA", at positions 524 to 776 of the family's 1533-position model. The record is from RNAcentral.
UACGUAUGGUGCAAGCGUUAUCCGGAUUUACUGGGUGUAAAGGGAGCGCAGGCGGCACGGCAAGCCUGAUGUGAAAGCCCGCGGCCCAACCGCGGGACUGCAUUGGGAACUACCGGGCUGGAGUGCCGGAGAGGUAGGCGGAAUUCCUAGUGUAGCGGUGAAAUGCGUAGGUAUUAGGAGGAACACCAGUGGCGAAGGCGGCCUACUGGACGGUGACUGACGCUGAGGCUCGAAAGCGUGGGGAGCAAACAGG